CAGGCGAUUAGGAACCAUCUAAUGCUUGUGCCUUAGUUGGGCCGUAUAUCGCCAAUAUCAUUUGUGCGCAUUUAAGGUCAUAUGUGUGUUUUUAUAACGCAUGUAUAUAACCAUUGCGACCUACAAGA
This is a non-coding RNA of Dictyocaulus viviparus (bovine lungworm), 128 nucleotides long. NCBI's taxonomy places the organism in Eukaryota, Metazoa, Nematoda, Chromadorea, Rhabditida, Metastrongylidae. The record is from Rfam.